AAGUCGUAACAAGGUAACCGUAGGUGAACCUGCGGUUGGAUCAUUAACAAAAAGAUAGGGGUCAGACCGUAAAACGUCUGGCCUUUAUAAACACCUGUGCACUUGUAAUGUUUGAGGCAAGGUCAAAUUGGAGACCCAGUAGGGUCUUUGGAGGUUGUGGAGGUUAGCUAACACUUUCGUCCAUGCCUCUCCUUGCCUCUGCAUCAACAUACAACAUGUAUAUCUUGAGCUAGUUUAUUUAUUAUAUUAAUAUCUAACAACUUUUGACAACGGAUCUCUAGGCUCUC
Molecule: unclassified non-coding RNA, 287 nt
Filed under: fungal sp.
Lineage: Eukaryota; Fungi
Description: partial internal transcribed spacer region
Rfam family: Eukaryotic small subunit ribosomal RNA (bases 1-46)
Source: RNAcentral